RNAcentral lists this ribosomal RNA (469 nucleotides) under uncultured bacterium. RNAcentral's name for it is "partial 16S ribosomal RNA". It matches the Rfam family "Bacterial small subunit ribosomal RNA", at positions 27 to 507 of the family's 1533-position model. The record is from RNAcentral.
GGACGAACGCUGGCGGCGUGCUUAACACAUGCAAGUCGAACGGAAAGGCCCUGCUUUUGUGGGGUGCUCGAGUGGCGAACGGGUGAGUAACACGUGAGUAACCUGCCCUUGACUUUGGGAUAACUUCAGGAAACUGGGGCUAAUACCGGAUAGGAGCUCCUGCUGCAUGGUGGGGGUUGGAAAGUUUCGGCGGUUGGGGAUGGACUCGCGGCUUAUCAGCUUGUUGGUGGGGUAGUGGCUUACCAAGGCUUUGACGGGUAGCCGGCCUGAGAGGGUGACCGGCCACAUUGGGCCUGAGGUACGGCCCAGACUCCUACGGGAGGCAGCAGUGGGGAAUAUUGCACAAUGGGCGGAAGCCUGAUGCAGCAACGCCGCGUGCGGGAUGACGGCCUUCGGGUUGUAAACCGCUUUCGCCUGUGACGAAGCGUGAGUGACGGUAAUGGGUAAAGAAGCACCGGCUAACUACGUG